Molecule: long non-coding RNA, 422 nt
Organism: Homo sapiens (human)
Lineage: Eukaryota; Metazoa; Chordata; Mammalia; Primates; Hominidae
Product: long independently transcribed non-coding RNA 2841
Exons: 3
Source: RefSeq, marked validated
AGUGUUCAAGCCCAACCUUUGGAGUCGAGUCCCACCUCCUACCUCAGAACCACCACCAUAAUCAGGAUUUAGAAUGCAUCACCCCAAAAUGUUUCUUCAUGUCCCUGGCCCCUUGCUUUCAAUCUCCUACAGCUCCUAGAUGUGGAAUGUAUGCCCUGCAGGCUGGUCUCUUUCCUGAGAGCUGAGAUGUCCUGUCCUAAGAACAGAGCCUGGCACGUGUCGGACAACUGUGGAGGGAACUGAUGAGUGAAAGAGAGAAUGGAGAAAGGAAUGAAUCAGCAUAAGCCCCACAGGGACAAAGACUGUAACUGGAGCACCCUUUCAUCCCCACUGCUGGACACAGGGUGGGGAACACUAAAUGUGCGCUACGCAUUGUUUAUCGAAACAGGCUCUACAUCAAAAUAAAAAACAAAACGAAAAAA